This 251-nucleotide long non-coding RNA is filed under the name Ananas comosus (pineapple). RNAcentral's name for it is "long non-coding RNA (ACOM_LNC023292)". Lineage: Eukaryota; Viridiplantae; Streptophyta; Magnoliopsida; Poales; Bromeliaceae. The record is from RNAcentral.
UAAAUAUACAUGUUGGACUUGGAUUCGACUUAGGAGAAAAUGCGAUAACGAUCGGCAUAUGUUAAACUACCUGAUUUAGCCAUAGGGGCCGUUGUAUGAUUUUAUACUGUUACAGUAUCAUCAUAUUGAGAAUUCCAGGUAGUUUAGAUUUCAGUUACACUUGUGCGGGGAUGCCGAGUGAAUUUUUAAAAUAGCAUUUAGGCUGUUCCGGACUGUUGGGUGCCGUCGGGGUUGACGGUGGACCCAUAUCG